GAAAAGAUGCCAGUCAAAUCAAGUCGAAGUUUCUUCUCUCGUGUUUCGAAUAGAGUUGGAACCUUUUCAAUGGAAGCAGAGAGGUGGUGGGUGGGGGCAGGCGUGCUCCUCGAGGAGGAGGCGGCGGCGGCUGCGUGGUGCGCGCAGCGGCGAGGGGAAGAGCAGCGCAGGGAUGGAGGCGUUAGAGGCCUUGGGGCCAGAAGCUCUAAAGUAGUACGAGAGGAACUCCACAACCCGCGGGCGUAAGCCAAAUCGCAAGCUCUCUUGGCAGCGAGACGCGGGCGCUUUCAAGUUGAGAGAUCACCAAACGCCACGGUCCCCAGGCUCCGGCUCUAUAGGAGCGCACACCUUUUGCCUAUUCUCUUAGCCCUGGCAAAGGUUCAGCGUCUUCGAACAGUUUACAUAAUUCCCAAACAGAUUGCAUUUCCUCCUCCAAAUACCACGAGAACUAAGCAAACAACGUACCCUUGACCUCAAAGGGAACUAUCGCCAUUUCUUUCGUGACUUCUGCGAACUUCUACUCUUCCUUACCUUUUCUUAUUAAGUCCAAUAGUUCACCUACAAGUUAUUUCCAGUUCCCUUCUGGUACCCUUCGAUAGUUUGAAAUAAUUUACGAAAUCAGCUCCUACCUGCUUAACUCCUUCGUCUUCUCGAUAAAGUUUUCUAUAAGAGUUCUAUGUACCUCCCAAACGGGGCAUAAAAAAAGUACUUUUAUUAGAGGAACAUAAUGUCUAACCCCAGUAUGCUCUUCUACAAACUCCAAAAACGACUAUACCUUCUCGACCCACAAGCUGGACUAUGGAGCUAACAGUCCUACGAGCCACUACAUAAAUACUUCGAUCUCUACAACCUGUUUAUGCUUUUCAAUUUAUCCUUUAUAGGUGGCGGUUUUAAACUUAUAGCUAUGUAGUUUCCGUUCGCGUAUUCCUAUUCCCAAAUAGGUCUGUUAUCAUGGCUUCUCCAUUGUGUCUCUCUGAGACCGUCUCUACUUGACCUUCUGCGUCCUUCGUACUUAGGACUGUUACUUAACCUUCUUCGCGGUUCUUGUCCGGACCUGUCCUUACAUAAUCCGCUGUGCCGAAGACCUCUGGAACUUAAACAUAUCGAGUCUCGAAUUUAAACCACGAAAGCACGGACGAAGCAGUUUCGUCCAUUCCCAUUUUAACCGACCAAUCGAACCAGAUCAAAAGAAAGUACCUUGGAAUUUUACGACUUGAUCUUGUACAGACUUAAUAAGGUAGAACUUUAACCCUCUGCAGUUAUGUAGUAUAGUACUACAACCUUUCUUUUGUUUAUUAAUAAUAAAGUGCUCAGAGAAAGUUCGUCGGUUCGUUUCUUCAGUACUUUAUACAAACUGUUACAUCACAUACCCCACAAAUUGUACCUUAAUCUCUUACAUCUUACAUUUCCUAACCUAGUUUUUAAUACAGAUGUCACAUUGACACACUCCACAAACUGUCCCUUAAAUACUUAGAGCACAAACUAGACUUGUUUUUUCAAAGAAGUCUCAUAGCUGAGACGAACCACCAAAUGAUUUAGUAGUAAGUGAGACGAACGUAUAAUAAGUACGAAGUAGGUUUACGAAGAUAGUAUACACUUACAAAGACGGGAAAGAGGUCACACGACGUUGUACAAGAUACAUUAGAUCGUUAAAUCUGGCUGGGACGGUUUAAACCUUUACCUCUAGAGUAGAGGGACUUUACUAUACCAUACAAGAGGACUACUGGACUAUCGAGUAAAGGUCCUGUCCGAAACAAACUUAAAGAAUUUUUUAUUAGUACAAACCGUACUCCGUCCUAUGUCAGCGGCUGCUAGAAACGGUACGGCACGGCGUAGGUCGUUCCCAGUAAGACCUUAGACCUAUCGCUCCGGUCCUGCUUCCGCCUACCAAGAGACUGUGUUUUAGUACAUGUUCAUAAUAAGACAUCGUGAUCGUUGUCGUAAUCCGUCAUCACAAAGUGACCUUACCUUACCAACAUGAUAUUUCAUCUUUGGAAUCGCGGACAAAACCUGAACGUUACUUAGUCAUAGUAAUGAGGUUAAAAGGGACAAAAGUUCCAGACCAGAAAAAAAAAACAGUUAAACAUAUCUUUGUUUGACAAAGUGCAUUUUAGGGAAGCAAGGUUUGUCCUGAGACCGACAAGACAGACCUUAAAGUACCUAGUAAC
This 2168-nucleotide ribosomal RNA is filed under the name Triticum aestivum (bread wheat). Its description in RNAcentral is "partial small subunit ribosomal RNA". Lineage: Eukaryota; Viridiplantae; Streptophyta; Magnoliopsida; Poales; Poaceae. The record is from RNAcentral.